This 253-nucleotide ribosomal RNA is filed under the name uncultured prokaryote. RNAcentral's name for it is "partial 16S ribosomal RNA". It matches the Rfam family "Bacterial small subunit ribosomal RNA", at positions 524 to 776 of the family's 1533-position model. The record is from RNAcentral.
UACAGAGGGUGCGAGCGUUGUCCGGAAUCACUGGGCGUAAAGGGCGCGUAGGCGGCUUGGUAAGCGUGUGGUGAAAGUCCGGGGCUCAACCCCGGAUCUGCCGUGGGAACUGCUGAGCUCGAGCAAUGUAGAGGCGGGUGGAAUUUCCGGUGUAGCGGUGGAAUGCGUAGAUAUCCGAAGGAACACCAGUGGCGAAGGCGGCCUGCUGGGCAUUUGCUGACACUGAGGCGCGACAGCGUGGGGAGCAAACAGG